AAAGUGUUAUUUGACUGGAGUGAGGUCUCAUGUCUGCUUAUGCGGUGGCUCGCUGCUCAGAACAGGGAGGAAGAGGGUAAUCUGGAAGAGUUUCCUGACCUACUCUGCUGCUGUGAUUAAACAACCACCAGGAAAUUUUGAUGACACUGUUCUCCUGAGCUCCUCCCUUUCCUCGGGGAAGAAAAGCAUUGAAACUACAAAAAUAAAGUGUUAUUUGGCUGGAGUGAGGUCUCAUGUCUGCUUAUGCGGUGGCUCGCUGCUCAGAACAGGGAACCAUUGGAGAUACUCAUUACUCUUUGAAGGCUUACAGUGGAAUGAAUUCAAAUACGACUUAUUUGAGGAAUUGAAGUUGACUUUAUGGAGCUGAUAAGAAUCUUCUUGGAGAAAAAAAGACUGGGUAUAUUUUCAAUAUGCUUUCCUUUUAAGGUCCCUCACCUGUGGAAAGUAAAGAAUGUCACUUUCUGACAGGCUCAGGAACCUCAAGUUAUGUAGGGAUCUCAAGAAGAUGGGGGAAUUCACCCAGUUCAUACAGGUGAAAUUGCUGUUGCAAAGAUUAUGAAUAUGAGAGAAGUCCAGCAUGGCUGACUUCAUCUCGUGUCUGGCCUCAGGCUGGCUGCCCUUGCUCACUCUUGGGCAUAGGCCAAGCUAGCCAUGGGAGGAAUUUAGUUUAUAGUUUAACUUUGAAGCACGGAUGAUAAUAGUCUCUCCCUAAAAUGAACCCCUUCCUUGCUCAGGGACUGAAACUACCUUUGUAUGACAAAUGAAAGCCCACAAGAUUAAGAUUAUGAGAGGGGCCUGAAUUCUGCUAAAAUGCAGGUGUAGCUGACUGAUAACAAGUCAUUGUCCCACAGCUUGCCUUUCUAUAAUCUCUUGCUUCUCAGGAGUCACAUGGCCAGAGGUCCUGAGAUUUCCAGUCCUGUGACCCCCACCCAGAGAUGGACUUAGUGCAUGAGGACCAUUUUCCACACCCCUAUGAUUUCAUCCUCAAACAAUCAGCAGCAACCAUUCCCUAGCCCCCUGCCUUCCAAAUUAUCCAUAAAAAUCCUAGCCUCUGAGUUAUUAGGGAGAUUGAUUAAUAAUCCCAGUCCUACCCCUUGGGUUGCUCUGAUUUAAUUAAACCUUCUCUACUGCAAUACCACGGACUCAGUAAAUUGGUUUUGUCUGUGCAAUGGGCAAGAAGAACAUGUUGCAUGGUUAUACAGGUACUACAAGCACAGUCUGAUGGCAAAUUAUUGGUUUUGCUUCCUGCCCUUGAUGUUUCUAAACAUCUAGUCCAAAAUUACUUGUGAAAGGUCCAGCAAAGCCAAUUUUAAAAGAGGCUAUAUGGCCAAUCACUAUUCUUUCUACACAUUAUUGCAAAUAAUCAGGCCACGGCUGGGCACGGUGGCUCAUGCCUGCAAUCCCAGCACUUUGGGAGGCUGAGGCAGGAUCACCUGAAAUCAGGAGUUCAAGACCAGCCUAGGCAACAUGAUAAAACCCUGUCUCUACUAAAAAUACAAAAUUAGCCAGGCAUGGUGGCAUGCACCUGUAAUCCCAGCUACUUGGGAGACUGAGGGAGGAGAAUCACUUGAACCUGGGAGGCAGAGAUUGCAGUGAGCUGAGAUCACACCACUGCACUCCAGCCUGGGCAAUAGAGUGAGACUUUGUCUCAAAUAAUAAUAAUAAUAAUCAGACCAAGUAUAAUGAAAUUAAAAUUUAUUUUGCAAAUAAAUUGGUCCUACUACAAUUUAUCCUUCAUAGAAAUGUGGAAACUGAAGAUAAAAAAAAUUAGGUUUCAGAAGAAAACUAUACUACACCUGUUAUUAGAUUCUAGCCCUAAACAUUGUUUUUGAGGUUUUUAUUAUUUACCUGCAAUUUGGUCUAAAUUCUGAAUUAUUUCCUGACUACAAGUAUCCAAGGAAUAAAUGGGUUUUCUUUUUCUUUAUGAUAGUUUUAGUUGGCUUCUAAUGCAACAACAAUUUUUAUUGUAAUCCUGUGUGCAUUCUAUUCCUACUAUUCAAAUUAUUAAUGUUAUAGAUCUUUCAUUGUAGUACUUCUGAAUUAACCAAAAUCACAGUAUUCUGAAGAUGAUUCUACAAAGCCUGCUGUUUCUACAAAGGCUGCUGAUGAUUUCUACAAAGCCUGCUGUAGUGUUGCUGUGGCCUCUGCUUAAAAAAGUAGAAAACACAUUGAUGCAGCAUGUUCACCCCAACCUCCCUGCCUAAAGGCUCAGGGACCAUCUUGGAAGAGGAAGGCGCGUGAGAUUGUAAGAGCCGAAUUAGGGGGAUGGAGUGUGGAGAAUAAGGACACUUCAUCUUGGAUGCUCACCUGCCAAAUUGACUUCUGAUGAAAGCCAGCUCCAGAAAUGUGCCUACAGUUACUACUUUCACCUAAACCCUGCCCUUAGUCAAAUCCUUCUCUUCUUCUAAGCAAUCAACUUCAAUUCCUUGUAUAACCCACAGUAUAAAAGGGCUUUUAUACCAUUCUAUCCUAUUGCAUGUAAGCCUUGGGUCUGGGAGGUAACAGUGUGGGAUUCCACCAUCUCAUCUCCCUGCCACCCAAACAUGCCUGCUCUUCUUUAAGCAAUAUUAAAUGUUUGUACUUCAGAAAAAAAAAAAAAAA
This 2601-nucleotide long non-coding RNA is filed under the name Homo sapiens (human). RNAcentral describes it as "prostate cancer associated transcript 19, transcript variant 2 (PCAT19)". Lineage: Eukaryota; Metazoa; Chordata; Mammalia; Primates; Hominidae. The record is from RNAcentral.